UGGGGAAUCUUCCGCAAUGGACGAAAGUCUGACGGAGCAACGCCGCGUGAGUGAUGACGGCCUUCGGGUUGUAAAGCUCUGUUAAUCGGGACGAAAGGUCUUCUUGCGAAUAGUUAGAAGAAUUGACGGUACCGGAAUAGAAAGCCACGGCUAACUACGUGCCAGCAGCCGCGGUAAUACGUAGGUGGCAAGCGUUGUCCGGAAUUAUUGGGCGUAAAGCGCGCGCAGGCGGAUCAGUCAGUCUGUCUUAAAAGUUCGGGGCUUAACCCCGUGAUGGGAUGGAAACUGCUGAUCUAGAGUAUCAGAGAGGAAAGUGGAAUUCCUAGUGUAGCGGUGAAAUGCGUAGAUAUUAGGAAGAACACCAGUGGCGAAGGCGACUUUCUGGACGAAAACUGACGCUGAGGCGCGAAAGCCAGGGGAGCGAACGGGAUUAGAUACCCCGGUAGUCCUGGCCGUAAACGAUGGGUACUAGGUGUAGGAGGUAUCGACCCCUUCUGUGCCGGAGUUAACGCAAUAAGUACCCCGCCUGGGGAGUACGACCGCAAGGUUG
RNAcentral lists this ribosomal RNA (550 nucleotides) under uncultured bacterium. Its description in RNAcentral is "bacterial SSU rRNA". It matches the Rfam family "Bacterial small subunit ribosomal RNA", at positions 355 to 896 of the family's 1533-position model. The record is from RNAcentral.